ACUUCGGGAAACCGGAGCUAAUACCGGAUAAUAUAUUGAACCGCAUGGUUCAAUAGUGAAAGACGGUUUUGCUGUCACUUAUAGAUGGAUCCGCGCCGCAUUAGCUAGUUGGUAAGGUAACGGCUUACCAAGGCAACGAUGCGUAGCCGACCUGAGAGGGUGAUCGGCCACACUGGAACUGAGACACGGUCCAGACUCCUACGGGAGGCAGCAGUAGGGA
This 220-nucleotide ribosomal RNA is filed under the name Staphylococcus epidermidis. RNAcentral's name for it is "partial 16S ribosomal RNA". It matches the Rfam family "Bacterial small subunit ribosomal RNA", at positions 146 to 360 of the family's 1533-position model. The record is from RNAcentral. Lineage: Bacteria; Bacillati; Bacillota; Bacilli; Caryophanales; Staphylococcaceae.